CAGUGACAUUUGGGGUCAGUGGCACUUGGGGGUCAGUGACAUUUGGGGCCAGUGGCAUUUGGGGGUCAGUGGCAUUUGGGGACAAUGGCACUUGGGGGUCAGUGGCACUUGGGGGUCACUGACAUUUGGGGUCAGUGGCACUUGGGGGUCAGUGAGAUUUGGGGACAAUGGCACUUGGGGGUCAGGUGGUGACACCUCCACUCUGGGUGUCCCCAGCAGUCGGUGGCACUGUCCCCGCUGUCCCCUCCGCUCUUGGUGUCCCCACUCCCAGUGUCCCCUGCACUCCCGGUGUCCCCACAAUUGGUGACACUGUCCCUUGUGUCCCCUCUGUCCCCGGUGUCCCCACUCCCAGUGUCACCUCCACUCCCGGUGUCCCCAACAGUCGGUGGCACUGUCCCUGCUGUCCCCUCCGCCCCCCGUGUCCCCACUCCCGGUGUCACCUCCAGUGUUGUCCCUUCCUACGGUGUCAC
This 470-nucleotide long non-coding RNA is filed under the name Numida meleagris (helmeted guineafowl). RNAcentral's name for it is "lncRNA (ENSNMEG00000003039.1)". Lineage: Eukaryota; Metazoa; Chordata; Aves; Galliformes; Numididae. The record is from RNAcentral.